UUGAACGCUGGCGGCAGGCCUCACACAUGCAAGUCGCACGGUAACAGGAAGAAGCUUGCUUCUUUGCUGACGAGUGGCGGACGGGUGAGUAAUGUCUGGGAAACUGCCUGAUGGAGGGGGAUAACUACUGGAAACGGUAGCUAAUACCGCAUAAUGUCGCAAGACCCAAGAGGGGGACCUUCGGGCCUCUUGCCAUCGGAUGUGCCCAGAUGGGAUUAGCUAGUAGGUGGGGUAACGGCUCACCUAGGCGACGAUCCCUAGCUGGUCUGAGAGGAUGACCAGCCACACUGGAACUGAGACACGGUCCAGACUCCUACGGGAGGCAGCAGUGGGGAAUAUUGCACAAUGGGCGCAAGCCUGAUGCAGCUAUGCCGCGUGUAUGAAGAAGGCCUUCGGGUUGUAAAGUACUUUCAGCGGGGAGGAAGGGAGUAAAGUUAAUACCUUUGCUCAUUGACGUUACCCGCAGAAGAAGCACCGGCUAACUCCGUG
RNAcentral lists this ribosomal RNA (489 nucleotides) under uncultured bacterium. RNAcentral's name for it is "partial 16S ribosomal RNA". It matches the Rfam family "Bacterial small subunit ribosomal RNA", at positions 30 to 507 of the family's 1533-position model. The record is from RNAcentral.